Molecule: ribosomal RNA, 144 nt
Filed under: Phycisphaerales bacterium
Lineage: Bacteria; Pseudomonadati; Planctomycetota; Phycisphaerae; Phycisphaerales
Description: partial 16S ribosomal RNA
Rfam family: Bacterial small subunit ribosomal RNA
Source: RNAcentral
GUCUUGUACUCACCGCCCGUCAAGUCAUGGAAGCUGAGGGCGCUCGAAGUCCCACAAGAAAGUGGGCCCAAGGCGAAAUCAGUGACUGGGACUAAGUCGUAACAAGGUAUCCGUAGGAGAACCUGCGGCUGGAUCACCUCCUUU